Hylaeus volcanicus is the source of this 628-nucleotide long non-coding RNA. RefSeq lists it as uncharacterized. Lineage: Eukaryota; Metazoa; Arthropoda; Insecta; Hymenoptera; Colletidae. The transcript has 3 exons. The record is from RefSeq and is a predicted model, not a curated record.
UGUUACAGACUUUCCUUUGUCGAGGAAUAAGUCAUUCUAAUGCUCCAGAUUAGAACAAGACGCAUUAAUUGACAAAUUUCAAUCAACUCCAUCGAGUGAUCAUGAGUGUAUUAUAGGGCCCCUUUUCGAUCUCUACCACGAAUACAACCAGCAAUUAUACGCGUCCUUAUCCAAGGGGUCAUCGCGAGAUCGCUAAAUGGUAAAAGUUGCGCGUAACAACGUGUAGCGUUAGUCGAUACGCAGAAAGUAAAAUGAAAAUGGAAAGUGGACGUUAAACUAAUUCCAAACGGACGCCUCUUCGACGUCGGUGAAUAUAAAUCAUUGCGUGCGCGAACGAUACGCCAAGACAACGCGAUGCGUUGCUUCUCUGUUAACUAUGUACUUUUUCUUUCGCUAAUUCGACGAAGAAACUCCGUUCAGGAAUCCAAUGAAAACGCUCGAAGCGUGCGACGUCGAAGAUAGGAUUAACGAAAGAAUGCGGUGCAUUUGAUAAACAAGGGCCAGUUAGGCGCCUGCAGAUGUGUUACACUUUCGAGGCAAGAAGAAUUUCUGCUGCGAAAGUGGAAGAGGGAUCUCUUUGUGGAGUACAGAACAAAUCUCUUGUUUUCUGCAAGAGGCCAAGGAUUAA